AUUGAACGCUGGCGGCAGGCCUAACACAUGCAAGUCGAGCGCGAAAGUCUUCGGAUGAGAAAAGCGGCGGACGGGUGAGUAAUGCAUGGGAAUCUGCCUGGUAGUGGGGGACAACGUUUCGAAAGAGACGCUAAUACCGCAUACGCCCUACGGGGGAAAGGGGGGGAUCUUCGGACCUCUCGCUAUCAGAUGAGCCCAUGUCAGAUUAGCUAGUUGGUAGGGGAAAGGCCUACCAAGGCGACGAUCUGUAACUGGUCUGAGAGGAUGAUCAGUCACACUGGAACUGAGACACGGUCCAGACUCCUACGGGAGGCAGCAGUGGGGAAUAUUGGACAAUGGGGGAAACCCUGAUCCAGCCAUGCCGCGUGUGUGAAGAAGGCCCUAGGGUUGUAAAGCACUUUCAGUGGGGAGAAAGGUUAUUCACCUAAUACGUGAGUAAAUUGAUGCUACCCACAGAAGAAGCACCGGCUAACUCCGUGCCAGCCGCCGCCGUAA
Molecule: ribosomal RNA, 495 nt
Filed under: uncultured bacterium
Lineage: Bacteria
Description: partial 16S ribosomal RNA
Rfam family: Bacterial small subunit ribosomal RNA
Source: RNAcentral